Molecule: ribosomal RNA, 503 nt
Filed under: uncultured bacterium
Lineage: Bacteria
Description: partial 16S ribosomal RNA
Rfam family: Bacterial small subunit ribosomal RNA
Source: RNAcentral
AUUGAACGCUGGCGGCAGGCUUAACACAUGCAAGUCGAGCGGGGUGAUGGUGCUUGCACUAUCACUUAGCGGCGGACGGGUGAGUAAUGCUUAGGAAUCUGCCUAUUAGUGGGGGACAACAUCUCGAAAGGGAUGCUAAUACCGCAUACGUCCUACGGGAGAAAGCAGGGGCUCACUUGUGACCUUGCGCUAAUAGAUGAGCCUAAGUCGGAUUAGCUAGUUAGUGGGGUAAAGGCCUACCAAGGCGACGAUCUGUAGCGGGUCUGAGAGGAUGAUCCGCCACACUGGGACUGAGACACGGCCCAGACUCCUACGGGAGGCAGCAGUGGGGAAUAUUGGACAAUGGGGGGAACCCUGAUCCAGCCAUGCCGCGUGUGUGAAGAAGGCCUUAUGGUUGUAAAGCACUUUAAGCGAGGAGGAGGCUCUUUUGGUUAAUACCCAAGAUGAGUGGACGUUACUCGCAGAAUAAGCACCGGCUAACUCUGUGCCAGCCGCCGCCGUAC